This 326-nucleotide ribosomal RNA is filed under the name uncultured eukaryote. Its description in RNAcentral is "partial 18S ribosomal RNA". It matches the Rfam family "Eukaryotic small subunit ribosomal RNA", at positions 1470 to 1796 of the family's 1831-position model. The record is from RNAcentral.
CCCUUAGAUGUUCUGGGCCGCACGCGCGCUACACUGAAGGGAUCAGCGUGUUUUCCCUUUCCGAGAGGAACGGGUAACCCGCUGAACCCCCUUCGUGGUAGGGAUCGGAGCUUGCAAUUGUUCUCCGUGAACCAGGAAUUCCCAGUAAGCGCAAGUCAUAAGCUUGCGUUGAUUACGUCCCUGCCCUUUGUACACACCGCCCGUCGCUACUACCGAUUGAACGUUUUAGUGAGGUAUUUGGACUGGGCCUUGGGAGGUUUCGGCCUCCCUUGUUGCUCGGAAAGACUCCCAAACUUGGGCGUUUAGAGGAAGUAAAAGUCGUAACA